GAUAACAGGCUGAUCUUCCCCAAGAGUCCAUAUCGACGGGAUGGUUUGGCACCUCGAUGUCGGCUCGUCGCAUCCUGGGGCUGGAGUCGGUCCCAAGGGUUGGGCUGUUCGCCCAUUAAAGCGGUACGCGAGCUGGGUUUAGAACGUCGUGAGACAGUUCGGUCCCUAUCCGCUGUGCGCGUAGGAGUCUUGAGAAGGGCUGUCCCUAGUACGAGAGGACCGGGACGGACGAACCUCUGGUGUGCCAGUUGUUCUGCCAAGGGCAUGGCUGGUUGGCUACGUUCGGGAGGGAUAACCGCUGAAAGCAUCUAAGCGGGAAGCCUGCUUCGAGAUGAGGACUCCCACCCACUUGAUGGGGUAAGGCUCCCAGUAGACGACUGGGUUGAUAGGCCGGAUCUGGAAGCACGGUAACGUGUGGAGGUGACCGGUACUAAUAGGCCGAGGGCUUGUCCUCAGUUG
Molecule: ribosomal RNA, 459 nt
Filed under: Streptomyces sp. SID8499
Lineage: Bacteria; Bacillati; Actinomycetota; Actinomycetes; Kitasatosporales; Streptomycetaceae
Description: partial 23S ribosomal RNA
Rfam family: Bacterial large subunit ribosomal RNA
Source: RNAcentral